Molecule: RNA transcript, 11653 nt
Organism: Gorilla gorilla gorilla (western lowland gorilla)
Lineage: Eukaryota; Metazoa; Chordata; Mammalia; Primates; Hominidae
Gene: ZNF776
Gene name: zinc finger protein 776
Exons: 5
Source: RefSeq, a predicted model, not a curated record
GUGGCCAUUUUGAUUGGUGUUGGGUGUAUUUUCCAGUGAGAGACCGCGGAGUGUUGGGUCGUGUAGAAGUGACUGAACCCAGAAGGUGGAGACGAGACGUUGUCCCGACUGCACAGAGGCUGCUCUGCAGCUCCUUAAAGGCGCUAGGCGUGACCCGCACCAAGGCCGGGAUCGGGACCACCGUGCCCGGGUACCUGCAACUGCUCGCCCCCUCCUUUCUACCCCGCUUUCCCCACCCAGUCGGAUGGCGGCGGCCGCGCCGAGGCCCCCGGCUCAGGGCACUGUGACCUUUGAAGAUGUGGCUGUGAACUUUUCCCAGGAGGAAUGGAGUCUCCUUAGUGAGGCUCAGAGAUGCCUUUAUCAUGAUGUGAUGCUGGAGAACCUGACACUUAUAUCUUCUCUAGGUUGUUGGUAUGGAGCAAAAGACGAGACACCUUCUAAGCAGACCCUUUCUAUACAACAGGAGUCCCCACUCAGGACACAUUGGACAGGUGUAUGUACCAAGAAGGUCCACCUCUGGGGAAUGUGUGGCCCUCUCCUGGGAGGUAUCUUACACCAGGGAACACAACACAAUCAGAAAUUGAAUGGGUUUGGGGCAUAUGAAAACAAAUUGGAUGACGAUGCAAACCAUCAUCAAGACCAGAAGCAGCACAUUGGAGAGAAAUCGUACAGAAGCAAUGCCAAGGGAACAUCUUUUGUAAAGAACUGUAAAUUCCAUAUGUCACAUGAGCCAUUUAUCUUUCAUGAGGUUGGGAAAGACUUUUUGUCCAGCUUGAGAUUACUCCAACAAGAGGACAUUCACACUUCAGGGAAGUCAAACUUUGAAACUAAGCAUGGGAUACCCCUUCAGGGUGGAAAAACUCCUUACAUCUGUGGAGAGUCCACAAUACCCUUUAGCAACAAACACUCACUUGUCCUUCACCAGAGACUUCUCCCUAGAGAAGGACCUUAUGUAUGCAGUGAUUCUGGGAAAUUCACUAGCAAAAGUAAUAGUUUUAAUAAUCAUCAGGGAGUUCACACUGGAAAAAGACCUUAUCAGUGUGGACAAUGUGAUGAAUCAUUUUGGUAUAAGGCCCACCUCACUGAACACCAGAGAGUUCACACUGGAGAAAGACCUUAUGAGUGUGGAGAAUGUGAUAAAUCUUUUAGUCAUAAGCACAGUCUUGUUGACCAUCAGCGAGUUCACACUGGAGAAAGACCUUAUGAAUGUGACGAAUGUGGGAAAUCUUUUAGCCAUAAGCGCAGCCUUGUUCACCACCAGCGAGUUCACACUGGAGAAAGACCUUAUCAGUGUGGAGAAUGUGGGAAAUCGUUUAAUCACAAGUGCAACCUCAUUCAGCAUCAGCGAGUUCACACUGGAGAAAGGCCUUUUGAGUGUACGGCAUGUGGGAAGUUAUUUAGGAGUAACUCCCACCUAAAGGAACACCAGAGAGUUCACACUGGAGAAAGACCCUAUGAGUGUAAAGAAUGUAGGAAAUCAUUUAGGUACAAGUCACACCUCACUGAACACCAGAGAGUUCACACUGGAGAAAGGCCAUAUGAGUGUAGAGAAUGUGGGAAAUGUUUUCAUCAAAAGGGCAGUCUCAUUCAACAUCAGCAGAUCCACUCUGGAGAAAGGCCACAUGAAUGUGGAGAAUGUGGGAAAUGUUUUCAUCAAAAGGGCAGUCUCAUUCGACAUCAGCAGAUUCACUCUGGAGAAAGGCCACAUGAGUGUGGAGAAUGUGGAAAGUGUUUUCGUCAAAAGGGAAACCUCAUUAAACAUCAACGAGUUCACACGGGAGAAAGACAUCAUGAGUGUUGAAAAUUUGGCAGAUCUGUUGGUAAAAAGAGCACCCUCAUUCAACAUUCGUGAGAUCACACUGGAAAGCGCUUAUGAGUGUGGAGAAUGUGCAAAAUCAUCUAGCCAAAAGGUUGGCCUCAUUCAACAAUAGCAAGAUCACACUGGGGAAAGGCUUUCUGAGUGUAGAGAAUGUAUGAAAUCCUGUACAUAGAAGUUUUACCUCACUAAAUACCAGAAGGGUCACACUGGAGAAAGACCCUAUAGUUAUGGGGAAUUUGGGAAAUUACCUAACAAGAAGUCCCACCUCACUGAACACUACUGAGUUCACAGUUGAGAAAGGCCAUGACUGUAGGGAAUUUGUAAAAUUAUUUAGCCAGAAGAGCUGCAUUACUAUUCAUCAGAUAAUUUACAAUGGAGAAAGGCCACAUAAUAAUUUCUCACAUAAUAAAUGUGAGAAAUCAUUUCCACACAGCUCUGUGCUCCAUGUUCGUAAGAGUUCACACUGGACAAAGCCUUAUGAGAGCAGCUAGUAGAAAAUCCUUUGUGGGAAAACUCUGGUUUCAUUAAACACAGGAGAGUUCAUGCUAGAGAAAGGCCUCAACAGUGUAGCAAAUAUGGAAAGACAUUCACUAGAAGCUCUGCCCUGCAAGUUCACACUAGAGAAAGCCCUCAGUGAAGUAAAUUUGGAAAAUUGAUUAGUCAAACCUUUAUGCUCCUUCAAAAUCAGAGUUCACACUGGAUCAAGGCUUUAUGGUGUGACAAAUAUGGCACAUUCUUUAUCUAAAUGUCUAACAUAUUAUGCACAGACAAGCUCCUGCUGUGGAAGUGCCUUUUGAGUGCAGAGCAUUUGCGAGGGCUUCACUCUUCUUUCACUGGAUACCAGAAUGUUGACAGGAGAAAAAUAACAUAGAUGUGUGGGAAUAUUACUUCUUGUCCAGUGUAACUGUGGGAGAGAGCCCUUAUGAGGACACCAUCAACCUAUAUUGAAUGUCAUAUGUCCAAUAGCUGCAUAAAUUCCAGGUAUAUGGGAGCUGUAUUGCAUUUCUUAUCCUGCGUAUGUCCUUGCCAGAUUUAUUUCAUUCUUAGGUCUCUGGCAAAAGCCAUUUCAUCUCUACCACUUGGCAGGUACCUACAGUGCAUCACUCAUGCACUCCAUCAUAUUCCAGAAAAAAAGUUCAAGUUGUCUCCCAUUCAGCAGUGGGAUUUUUGAGUAGCCUCUGCACUCGUUCCUUUCUCAUUUCUCUAUGAAGAGUUGGGCCAUGGACCUGACUCAGUUCUGGCCUAGAGCAGAAGUGUCCAAUCUUUUGGCUUUCCUGGUCCACAUUGGAAGAAGAAUUGUCUUGUGCCGCAUAUGAAAUACAUUAAUACUAAUGAUAGCUGAUGAACUUUUUUAAAAAAUCACACAAAAACCCUCAUAAUGUUUUAAGAAAGUUUACGAAUUUGUGUUGGGCUGCAUUCAAAGCUGUCCUGAGACACAUGCGGCCCACAAGCUGCGGGUUGGACCAGCUUGGCCUAGAGAAUUUUUCUGAUUACUUGACAAGAUGGGCUGUCUUUCCUAGGAAUCUCAUGAUUGUCAUGAUUCUUAAAAUGGAAUUUUCCAGCCUCUAACUCACCAACCCAAGUACAAGCUGCCUCUCAUUAUUCUAGUUUCUGCUAUGAUGAAGUCCUUAUUUAAGCUUCCUUCAAUCUUGGGAAUUGUAUUGACUGUAUUGUGUGAAUUGUAUACUCACUGCAUUGUGUGUCUUAGAUACAACAUGGUUCUGGUACCAUGAAGGAUUCUGGUACCAUGAAAGUUUGUUGGGGUUACUAAACUGUGUGACUCUUAGGGAACAGUAUGAAGGCAGAAUAUAGCUCUGCAUUUGUGGCCUAGUUUGGAUGGCUGCCUGAGGCCUCCAAAUAAAGACUUCAGGGCUUUGUGAUCUUUAUUUUUAGAUGAAAUAGUGCAAUAAUAUGUGUUUUCAUAAAUCAACCUGAGUAGGGGACAGUUUUAGUGACACACUUUGGUGCUUCUGAGAACAGCACAAAAUUAUUCUCUUGUUUAUAACGGAUAUUGCAUUCUGCUCAGUACUGGUGAGGGAAAUCUGUUCUCAAGUCCUACAGUGCAUUCAUGUGUCCUGAAGUCCAGAAUUCUGUAGGAUAGUGUCCUACAUUAUAAGCCUGGAGGAAGAAAUCAUAAUUCUUUAAUUUUUAUUUUUUUAGGGACAUGAUGUCACUCUGAAACUCAGGCUGGAAUACACUGGCAUGGUCAUACCUCACUGCGGCCUCAAACUCCUGGGCUCAAGUGAUCCUCCUGCCUCAGCCUCCCGAGUACCUGAGAUUAGCCCAGAGCAGUGUGACCUUUGAAGACGUGGCUGUAAACUUUUCCCUGGAGGAAUGGAGUCUUCUUAAUGAGGCUCAGGGAUGCCUGUACCAUGAUGUGAUGCUGGAGACCCUGACACUUAUAUCCUCCCUGGAAAGGGUGCACUCGCCAGCAGUUUUGCAACAGGAGCACACUGAACAAAGAAGACAGGGUCAUUUAUAACCUGAGGCGUUCACCCUCCUGCCGGUUUCCAUUGCCUGGAACAGGACCUCAUAUUCUGUAUGUGUCCUGAUUGGCUAGCAACUUAGAACCUUUUAAAAGAGGCAAAGGUAGAGGAGAACAAAGAAAGGAGGAAGUAACUUGUGGAAUGCUGAGAAAGGUAAAAACACUUUUAAAUAAGGAAGAGGAACAGGCUAUGACCUAAUGCUUGCUUGGAGCAGUAUAAGCAUGUCAGGGCAAAUAUUUAGGCUAAAUUGUCAGAGCUAAGAACAUAAAGUACAUUGAUUUCUUUAUUAUGGCUAGCAGAUAUUUAAGAAUGCUAGCACAAGUCUUUCAAUAAAUUUCGCUUUUAAGAGAAGUUACUAUUUAUUCCUAAUUAGAUGGGGAGGAAAGUCUUUGAAGAGGAACCUGUACUUUACUUUUAACAAUAUUCCCCCUCUUUUUAUUUCAUAAUUCCUCUUCAAACUUAUUUAAUGUUUUGACUUAAUUGCUUUUUUUGUCCUUCUAAGAGAAGUAAUUUUUUUUUGAAUAGGGAGGAGGAGAGUUAGCAGUUAACUCUGUAACAGUGGCAGAGACAAGUUUUUGUAUAAAACUUUGAAGGUAGGGAAUAUUAUAACAGCCUACAAGAAUAAGUACACUAAUAACAAGAGUGAACAAGGUGAGAAUUGAAGUUAAAAUUUCUUUUUAUUCACUGAACUAAUGUUUUAUUAUUUUAGAAAAGGGGUUAUUUAUUUUACAAUUCUUGGCAAAUUUAUCAGAUAGGGCUGUUAACCUUGGUAGCGCUUUUGUUAUAGUUCUAUCAGGGGCAGUAUUAUUAGGAACAAAGGUACAAUACUGAGUUUUGUAUUAAACAUUUAAUUUAUUGGUCUUUGUGGGGAAUUAGACGCAUUACCACUCUGUUACAACUGAGGCAUUAAUUUUGUAGCUUCACCAACAUUAAUUGGUUUGCUUUCAUGACACUGAGGAAUCAAUUCUUUCUGCAGAGGUUCUGAGUUUUAAUUAUGACACAAACAUCUCCUUUUUCUGCUAAUUAUUUAAAGCUAUUUUAUUUUUCUACGCCAUCUGGCUAGUAGAUCCUAAUUGCUUAGCUAUCUGUUUGAUGGUAUCCUCAGUGUAAUUUAUGAAUUGUUGGUGAUUGUAACAUAGCUUAGUCUACAUUUUUUUAUAGUUACCAGAAUGAUGUGGAUUUAAAUUCUGCAGCUAUUUGAUUUUGUGCUUUAAACUUAUCGGGCACUUCUCACAGGACCUUAAUAGCAUUUAUGUAAACCUGAGGAUUAAAGGACUCAUACGUUUUUCUUGGCCUGUGGUGUUUUGUUUUUACCUUUGUAGAUUGAUGAAAUGCCAGGAUGAAGGGGAUACCCAAUUGGAUUACAGCACAAGUACUGCUCCAGUUAUUUGGCAGAGUGUCCAGUAAAGGUCUUCCACUUACCACUAUACAUUUGUUUGGGGAUGGCUAAGCAUGGACUGAUGGGCAAGGUCUUGGAAAGGCUUGAGCUCUUUGCAUCGUUUAAUGCUUCCAAGGAACACUAAAUUUUCCUCCUGACCUGAGAUGCACAAAGUAAACUUUGUGCAUUCAGCAUUCAGCAUUCAGAGGUGGAAGCCGGAUUGCCGUAGGGGGCUGACCUGCAGGGUGUUAAAUUUCAGGAAAUAGCAGAGAGAGCUCAGUAUGUUGGAUUAUCCCAAGCAGUGGGAUUUGGAAAAGAGCCACCAUACAGUCCUUAUCUGAGUGGAAAGGGGAUAAUCUGGGAUUCUGGCCUACUGUGCGUACAAGUGUAAUAAUCGCUUUUAUUUGAAGUGCUAAUGGAUUAUUUAAUCCAUUUCAGCCAGGCAUUUGCAUCUUGAUAUUUUGUCUUGACAGCGAAGGUCUGUCUUAGAUCUCUUAUUUUUACAAGACACCUUAGUUUUACCAGAUGUAGGAGCAACUGGUGUGGGAUCUAGAUCUGAGGCAACUUAAGAAGGGAAAGAUGAGGGAAUAAUGUGUAUUUUUAAAAUAACUGGGGGGUCUUUUUUAUUUAUGUUAAUUUUUUUUUUUUUUUUUUUUUGAGACAGAGUCUAGCUCCGUCACCCAGGCUACAGUGCAGUGGCACGAUGUCAGCUCACUGCAACCUCUGCCUCCCGGGUUCAAGCAAUUCUCCUGCCUCCGCCUCCCAAGUAGCUAGGAUUACAGGCACCCACCUCCGCGCCCAGCUAAUUUUUGUAUUUUUAGUAGAGACGGGGUUUCACCAUCUUGCCCAGGCUGGUCUCAAACUCCUGACCUCAGGUGAUCCACCAGCCUCGGCCUCCCAAAGUGCUGGGAUUACAAUCAUGAGCCACCACGCCCAGCCUACUUAUGUUAAUUUUUAUACCAUAGAAGCGACUAAGGGUGUGUCUAGAGUUCGUUAAGGUGGAGGUGGUGAUAAAGAGAAAGACAGGGUUAUAUUGACAAGGCUGACAGUAAGAAGGGGUAGUCCUUUUAAUGAAAUAGAUGAGGGGUUUUAGGUCUGCACAAACCUUUUUGUGGAAGUCUAACUUUGCUAUUGGGUAGUUUGAGUGAUGCAGUACUAUUUACUACAAUGUUGCCAGGUGGUAGGAGCAGAAAAUUGGUGUCUUGGCUGCAGGUCAUUACAACAAUGAGUGCUAGGAAUAACUGUGUCAAUUAAAGGGCUGGGAUAUAAAUAUUUGUGUGAAAAGGCUAGCUGCUGUUGAUCUUUUACAUUUCUACAAGGUAUGACAAAGCAAGCAUUAAAGGCAAUAGUCUGAGUGAGUCAGACUUAGUUACAUUAAUAACAAAGGAGCUAAUAACAGAAUAAGAAAAGGAAGCAAUAUAGAAGGUAUAUGAAAAUUAAUCUUUCUUUAACUUAGUAGGGCUUGAUCCUAGUACAGUAACCCAUGAUUCUGAGAGGAAGAUGUUUUCUUGACUUGAGUAUGGUGGGUCCAUUUUUUUUUUUCCUCAGCUGUGUGGACGGCAGUCUCAGGGGUUAACAGAAUAAAAUAGGGUUCUUCCCAGGCUGGUUUGAGUUUUUUCUUUCUAGCUUUUGAUGAGGACAUGGUUUUCAGGCUGGUGCUGGUGUACUGGAAAUUCUAGGGGUGGUACCUGUGCUAAAAGACUUUUAGGUCCGAGGGAAGUGAAAGUGGAAGAUAAAUUAAGUAUAGGAUUUUUGCUGCAUAUUCUGGGGCCUUAGGCCUCAUGGUGACACCUCCUGCUCCAUUCUUGUUCAGCGCCACCCAGGGGAGGCUGCAGCCCUGCCCCUUCUUAAUGUCUUGGCCUUCUUGUGGCCUUCACCACCCUUGCUCACUGUGGCCUUCAGGAUGAGGGGCCUUGUGACUUACCUGGCCAUCUUAGGGCCUUAAGAAAGCUAAAUACCAUUGUAUAUUUGUCAAUUUUUUUGUAUGAUUUUUAUAUCAAAUAAGUUAAAUUUUAUCUUUAGUGGCCAGGCGCGGUGGCUCACGUCUGUAAUCCCAGCACUUUGGGAGGCUGAGGCGGGUGGAUCACCUGAUGUCAGGAGUUCGAGACAAGCCUGGCCAACAUGGUGAAAUCCCGCCUCUACUAAAACUAAAAAGUAAAUAAAUAAAUAAAUUUAUCUUUAUAUUAAUAUGCUACUAAUGUUAAACUUAAUUUUAGUAAGAUCUUAUAGACAUUAUUUAUCUAAUUUUAAUGUCUGACUAUAAGGCAAGACUUUUAGACUCUUUUUAUAAUUUUUGUUAAAGAGCACGUUGGUGCUUUAAGAAAAAUCUAUCGUGCUUUAAUUUUAACGUCCAGUUCACAGAAAAACUGGAUGACACCCUUUUAACUUUAGCCAAUAUGUUUACACACAGAAUUUGAUACCCUCUUAACUUUAGCCAGUAUGUUUACACACAGAAUUUCCUUGACAAUUAACAUUUUAAAACUUGCUUAAACCUUUAAAACAAAAAAAUUGUCUUAACCUUUAGUGUAGGUAAAAAUCCAUAUUCUUAUGCCUCCUUGUAAUCUUAUUAAAAGUAUAUUUUAUUUUUCUUACAUACCUUGUAAACUGUUUAAUAAUAAUUUUACAUCCAGGAGGCCUAAUUACUUUUAAAUUAUACAGUAUUUAUUGCAUACAUUCCCUUUUAUAGCUUUUCUUACGACUUUCACAAUCUUCAACAUGUCUUAACUUUCUGCCUUCCUUUUACACUAUUUUUUUCCUCGUUUCACCUCCUUUGUCUUCUUUUGAUUUCUGUCUCUUCCAGUUUCUCUCUUACUCUUUCCUUCUAUUUCUUUCUCUCAUUUGCACUCUAUUUUCCGCUCUCUCAUCCCGUUUCCCUUUCUUCCCCGGACUUCUCCCGCUCCUGCCGCAAGCAGGGCUGGGCCACCGCACAGGCCCCGCCCCCGACCCCGCGCUGCUGUUUUUCUUUUUUUCCCCCUGAUUUCCCCUCUUACUUUUUUUUUUUUUUUUCCUUUUCCUUUUACACUUAGUUUCUUGGGCUGAGUGGGAUUUGCGUGGCUGCAGUCUGGGCCCCGGGCAGUCACUAGCCUAGAGGCUUGGCAGAUAUGCCUGCUGCAAAUUGCAAGAAUUACGCCUUUUCACCUCCUCUGCUCUCCUCCCGGAGCCGGUGCCCACCCUCUUUUUCACAAACCGCAGGGCUGGGGAGAGGGACUUAACCUUUGGCCUGCCUGCCUGGCUGUUUGGCUCUGUGCUUGCUGUUUUUGGUUUCUUUCUCUUCUACUGGUCUUUCCUUUGUCAUUGCCAGCCACCUAUGCUGCUGUUUUCUCCUCUGCUUCCCUCUCCCCUAGGGGAGGGACCGGCAGGAGUGGAGCUACUGUUUCUUUCCCUGAGAAGAAAGGAAAGGGGAGUUCUGAAUAUUUUUCUUACUACUGGAGGUUUGUGUGAGGUUCAACCCCCCCCCCCCCAACAAUAGGGAUUUCUCACCUCUAAGACAUCCUAAGGAAUACUUUACCACCCCUGCGGUUUUUCUCUUUGGUAUGUCCUAACCAAGGAAUGCUUUACCAUCCCGGCUUUUUCCUUAGUCCCGACCACCAAGGAAAUACUUUACCGGCUCCUGCGGCUUCUCCUUCCUUGGUCGGUGCACAGUUGUCAUUCCAUUACAUGAGGAUCUUUAAGCUAGGUUGCUGGCCAGUUUUUUUUUUGCCCCCAUUGCUGAGAGUCCAGGUUUAUUCGUCACACCGGGUGGGUCUCAAUUUCUUACCUAUGAGGACCUUGCAAUGAAGUAGGGGAGCGCUACCCCAUGAGAGAGGACUGGAGACCGCCCCCAGAGAAGAAUGUAUCCCCGUACGGAUUGCCACCAAAUUGUUUGAAAUGCUUGUUCUCCGGUGCCAUAAAGAAAUAGCACUUGAACAUAAAUUUAUUUAGUAAGGCCAUUUUUACUUCCUGCAGAAAGGGUACACUCAGCCAGCAGUUUUGGCACGAGAGUACACAACUAAGGAUAUAGGGUCAUUUAUAACCUGACGCGUCCACCCUACUGCUGUGUCCGGUUUCCACUGGCUGGGAUGGGGCCUCACAUUCUGUAUUUGUCCCGACUGGCGAGCAACUUAGAACUUUUUUUUUUUUUUUUUUUUUGAUGGAGUCUCACUCUGUCGCCCAGGCUGGAGUGCAGUGGCAGGUUCUCAGCUUACUGCAAGCUCCACCUCCCGGGUUCACGCCAUUCUUCUGCUUCAGCCUCCCAAGUAGCUGGGACUACAGGCUCCUGCCACUGCCUGGCUAAUUUUUUGUAUUUUUCCUAGAGACGGGGUUUCAUGUGUUAGCCACAUGGUCUUGAUAUCCUGACCUCUUUACCCGCCCGCCUUGGCCUCCCAAAGUGCUGGGAUUACAGGCGUGAGCCACCACCCCCCACCACCGCCCAGCCAAUUUAGAACCUUUUAAAAGAAGCAAAGGUAGAUGAGAACAAAGGAAGGAGGAAGUAACUUGUGGAAUGCUGAGAAAGGUGAAAACACUUUUAAAUAAGGAAGAGGAACAGGCUAUGACCUAAUGCUUGCUUGGACCAGUAUAAGCAUGCCAAGGCAAAUAUUUAGGCUAAAUUGUGGGAGCUAAGAACAUAAAGUACGUUGAUUUCUUUAUGACGGCUAGCAGAUAUUUAAGAAUGUUAGCACAGGUCUUUGAAUAAAUUUUGCUUAUAAGAGAAGUUACCAUUUAUUCCUAAUUAGGGAGGAAAGUCUUUGAAAAGGAACUUCUACUUUACUUUUUACAGUUACUAUGAGGAUCACUAUAUCAAUGUUUCUUAAUUCAUAUGCUAAAGUGCACUCAAUUUUUUUUUUUUUUUUUGAGACGGAGUCUCGCUUUGUCGCCCAGGCUGGAGUGCAGUGGCGCGAUCGCCAAUUGCCGCUCAAUGCAAGCUCUGCCUCCUGGGUUCACGCCAUUCUCCUGCCUCAGUCUCUGGAUUAGCUGAAACUACAGGCACCCACCACCACGCCUGGCUAAUUUUUUGUAUUUUCCCUAUAGAAGGCGUUUCUCCAUGUUAGGAUUAUCUCGAUCUCCCGACGUCGUGAUCCGCCUGCCUCGGCCUCCCAAAGUGCUGGGUUUACAGGCAUGAGCCACCACGCCCUGCCCUCAAUUUCUUUUUUCACAUUGACAUCUAUCUCAAAGGAAGAGCAACUUAACCAAUGUCUUUGUGGUACACAUCAGUGGCUACAACUUUCACAAUUACAGCACAGAUAAAAAAGGCCAUCUGAAUGACAGCAUAAACAUGGCAUCUGAGCUCCAAAAUUUCAUCUCCUUACAAGAAAGUGGUUAUUAUUUUCCAGUGACUGCAGGAAUAGUUUCACACUGGGUACUGGGAUUAUCUCAGAAUAAAUGUUUUUGUUUUAUUUUUUUUGAGACAGCGUCUAACUGUCGCCUAGGCUGGAGUGCAGUGGUGUGAUCUCAGCUCACUGCAACCUCUGUUGCCUGGGUUCAAGUGAUUCUCCUGCCUCAGCCUCCUGAGUAGCUGGGAUUACAGGCAUGUGCCACCACGCCUGGCUAAUUUUUGUAUUUUUAGUAGAGAUGGCGUUUCACUAUGUUGGCCAGGCUGGUCUCAAACUCCUGACCUCAAGUGAUCCACCCACCUUGGCCUCCCAAAGUGCUGGGAUUACAGGCGUGAGCCACCACGCCUGGCCUCAGAAUCAAUUACAGGCGCAGUGGCUCACGACUCAGGCCUGUAAUCCCAGCACUUUGGGAGUCCAAGGCAGGCAGAUCAUUUGAGGCCAGGAGUCUGAGAUGAACCUGGUAACACGGCAAAACCCCAUCUCUUCUAAAAAUCAAAAAACAGCCAGCAUGGUGGCUCACGCAUGUAAUCCCAGCUAUGUGGGAGGCUCAGGUGGGAGAAUCGCUUGAACCUGGGAGGUAGAGGUUGCAAUGAGCCAAAAUCACGCCACUGCACUCCAACCUGGUCGACAGUCUUUAAAAAAAAAAAAAAAAGCAGCCGCA